RNAcentral lists this ribosomal RNA (485 nucleotides) under uncultured bacterium. RNAcentral's name for it is "bacterial SSU rRNA". It matches the Rfam family "Bacterial small subunit ribosomal RNA", at positions 24 to 518 of the family's 1533-position model. The record is from RNAcentral.
UCAGGAUGAACGCUGGCGGCGUGCCUAACACAUGCAAGUCGAACGGAGUUACGAGAGCUUGCUUUGUAACUUAGUGGCGGACGGGUGAGGUAAUGUAUGAGCAACCUGCCUUUCAGAGGGGGACAACAGUUGGAAACGACUGCUAAUACCGCAUAAUGUACCGUGGGGGCAUCCCCGUGGUACCAAAGGAGCAAUCCGCUGAAAGAUGGGCUCAUAUCUGAUUAGCUAGUUGGUGGGGUAACGGCUCACCAAGGCUGCGAUCAGUAGCCGGACUGAGAGGUUGAACGGCCACAUUGGGACUGAGAUACGGCCCAGACUCCUACGGGAGGCAGCAGUGGGGAAUAUUGGGCAAUGGGCGAAAGCCUCGACCCAGCAACGCCGCGUGAAGGAAGAAGGUCUUCGGAUUGUAAACUUCUUUUAUGAGGGACGAAGGACGUGACGGUACCUCAUGAAUAAGCCACGGCUAACUACGUGCCAGCCGCGGC